This 209-nucleotide ribosomal RNA is filed under the name uncultured bacterium. RNAcentral's name for it is "partial 16S ribosomal RNA". It matches the Rfam family "Bacterial small subunit ribosomal RNA", at positions 32 to 221 of the family's 1533-position model. The record is from RNAcentral.
AAUCAACGCUGGCGGCGUGCCUAACACAUGCAAGUCGAACGCGAAAGGGGCUUCGGCCCUGAGUAGAGUGGCGAACGGGUGAGUAACACGUGGGUGAUCUACCUUCGAGUGGGGGAUAACGUCCCGAAAGGGACGGCUAAUACCGCAUGACGUUCUGGGUUUGUAAGACCUGGAAACCAAAGCCGGGGACCGGCAAGGCCUGGCGCUUG